RNAcentral lists this long non-coding RNA (1520 nucleotides) under Homo sapiens (human). Its description in RNAcentral is "HSALNT0373388". The record is from RNAcentral. Lineage: Eukaryota; Metazoa; Chordata; Mammalia; Primates; Hominidae.
ACUGUCUCCAUCAUCAGACACACCCCCUGGCCCUGGCCACUGGGAGGUGCCCCAGAGACAGCAGGCCCAGCUAAAUCCAAGGCGGUCUCUCCCAGGCCUAGGCUCUCCGGAGGACUGCGCGCAGGCAGCUGCCGAGGGAACAAGGGAACUUGCUGCCCAAAAUGUGUAGCUGCGAGUCCAAGAAAAGGACACAAAAUCCUCAGGAAGAAGAUUACUCAGUGUAUUUAAUGCUGCCCUUCCUCAAUUCCACCCAAAGCUCACAUGGCGACACGAAGGGCAUUGGUGAGGAAACCAGCGAGGAGUCUGCAUGAGCCUGAGAUGUUGCUAAGCUCUCUGAUAUCUGCGGUGAGAGUGUCUACGCGAAGAUUACCCAUGCUGGGCUCCAGCGUUUCAACCCUAACCCCACAAUGAGCGCCUGGUCACUCUGUGGUCUAAACUCUGAGAGAAGAGAGCAUUCCAUACUAUACUACAUUUCGUACACAAUUAUUUGAUACAUGGAAGAAACCAUAAAUAUUAUUUAUCUUACCAUGGGCCUCAGAAUGUCCAAACACCACAGCUAAUUAGGGUUCAAUAAUAGAUUCAAUAAGCUGAAGCCUGUUUUUCUGGUUUAUCAAAACAAGUAAAGCAAUGGCCAUUACAUUCUAAUUUGUAAGCAUUUUGUUUGAUGGCUUUGAGUAGAAAGUACUUAGCUUUGCCUGUCCUAUAGGAGGUCCAGCCACCAUCUAAAGUCAGCACUAAACUAUAUCUGUUGCCAUUUACGAUACUUUUUUCCAUUUGUGGAAACAAGUUAUUUGUUAUAACCAAACAUAUAUUCAAAUACAGACGGAGCUUUUGCUAAAAGAUUAGAAAGUCAAUAUUUCCUAAUUGGCAAGGAGAAGGAUUUGGUCAAAGCCAAUGAGAAUUUCUUCUAUGAUCAGUCUUUCCCCAGGAGCUGGCUCCUGUGAAGAUUAUAACUCACCUGCUGCAGAUGCGAGUAAAGUUGACACUGUGAAGCAAAGCAUACUAGUAUAUUUCACCAUCUCAGGGUACCCCAGUUGAAAAGUUUUAAUCAAGACUCCCUAAACCAUGAUUUCUCAACUUCAGCACUAUUGACUUUGAGGGUAGAUAAUUCUUUGUUGUAGGGGCUGUCCUAUGCAUUGUCAAUGUUUAGCAGCAUUCCUGGCUGACACCCACUAGAUGCUGGUAACAUCCUCCUCACCAGUCAUGACAACAAAAAAUGCAUCCAGACAUUGCCAAUGUCCCCUGGGGAAGAAAAAUCACCCCCAGUGAUGCUCCUCCACUCCUUGUGCAUGAUAUACAUUAAUAUUUCCAUGGAGGUGACUUGCCAAGGUUCAUAACCUUGUCCUUAAGCAAGAAUUUGCAUGUGUGUGUACCUUUAUUUUUUUAAUGAAUUGAACAUUUAUUUAAAAUCAUAUUGUGCUAUUUAUAGUAUUCUUGUCUUGCAUGUUUUACUUAAUCACAUAUCCUCCAGAACUGUGAGAAUUUUGUUUCUGCUAUUAAGCUACCUAGUCUAUGGUAUU